CUACGGGAGGCUCCAGUGGGGAAUAUUGCACAAUGGGGGAAACCCUGAUGCAGCCAUGCCGCGUGUAUGAAGAAGGCCUUCGGGUUGUAAAGUACUUUCAGCAGUGAGGAAGGGUGAUAAAUUAAUACUUUAUCAUUUUGACGUUAGCUGCAGAAGAAGCACCGGCUAACUCCGUGCCAGCAGCCGCGGUAAUACGGAGGGUGCGAGCGUUAAUCGGAAUUACUGGGCGUAAAGCGCAUGCAGGUGGUCUGUUAAGUCAGAUGUGAAAGCCCGGGGCUUAACCUCGGAAUCGCAUUUGAAACUGGCAGGCUAGAGUACUGUAGAGGGGGGUAGAAUUUCAGGUGUAGCGGUGAAAUGCGUAGAGAUCUGAAGGAAUACCGGUGGCGAAGGCGGCCCCCUGGACAGAUACUGACACUCAGAUGCGAAAGCGUGGGGAGCAAACAGGAUUAGAUACCCCUGUAGUC
This 464-nucleotide ribosomal RNA is filed under the name uncultured bacterium. RNAcentral's name for it is "partial 16S ribosomal RNA". It matches the Rfam family "Bacterial small subunit ribosomal RNA", at positions 339 to 795 of the family's 1533-position model. The record is from RNAcentral.